This 260-nucleotide ribosomal RNA is filed under the name uncultured bacterium. RNAcentral describes it as "partial 16S ribosomal RNA". It matches the Rfam family "Bacterial small subunit ribosomal RNA", at positions 793 to 1055 of the family's 1533-position model. The record is from RNAcentral.
GUCCACGCCGUAAACGUUGGGCACUAGGUGUGGGUUUCAACCAACGAAAUCCGCGCCGUCGCUAACGCAUUAAGUGCCCCGCCUGGGGAGUACGGCCGCAAGGUUAAAACUCAAAGGAAUUGACGGGGGCCCGCACAAGCAGCGGAGCGUGUUGCUUAAUUCGAUGCAACGCGAAGAACCUUACCUGGGCUUGACAUGUACGGAAAAGCCGUAGAGAUACGGUGUCCUUCGGGCCGUACACAGUGGUGCAUGGCUGUCGU